CUAGCUGAAAUAACUGCAACUAAAUCUAGACAGUGUAAGAUCAUGUGACGAGGACAUAUAUCUACAUUUUACAAAGCAAAUAACAAUAAUACAAUGAAUUUGAGAAGUUGGAGACAAACAACACAUACUUUUUAUCACUUGGUCUAUAUGGUUUCAAUUGAUUAUCCCCACAUAUACGUAUAGGAUUGCGAGAAAAUUUCCAAGCAUACAACUAUUCAGUGUGUGUCUGCUCAGAUGUAUACCCGCCUUCUAUCAUUUGUGCUUUGUUGUACUGGCCAUACAGAUCAAUUAACUAAUCCUACAAAUUUUGAAUAAUCAUAUGUUGUAAAAUUCAAUUUGGUAUGAGGGCUCAAUGUUUCAAUUAUGAAUAAUCAUAUCUUCGAAUAAGAGGAUUAUAGAGUUUAAAUAAUCAAUUUGUUAUUAUAGUAAUUGAUAAACAAAGAAAAGCCUCAGUGUUACUAACAAAGCCAACAAGCCCUUAGAUAUUUUGGUUGAACCAAAACCCCCCGGGGAAAUGGUCAUCUUGAGAUUGGCAUGAUGUCCACAAAGCUCUUCACUACUUUGCUUUCCUUAAU
This 575-nucleotide long non-coding RNA is filed under the name Sorghum bicolor (sorghum). RNAcentral's name for it is "long non-coding RNA (SBIC_LNC009714)". Lineage: Eukaryota; Viridiplantae; Streptophyta; Magnoliopsida; Poales; Poaceae. The record is from RNAcentral.